Molecule: transfer RNA, 68 nt
Filed under: Tomocerus qinae
Lineage: Eukaryota; Metazoa; Arthropoda; Collembola; Entomobryomorpha; Tomoceridae
Description: tRNA-Tyr
Source: RNAcentral
GAUAGUAUGGCUGAUGUAUUAGGCGUUAAACUGUAAAUUUAAUUAAGAAAUUUGUUUUUCUACUUUCA